AGAGUUUGAUCCUGGCUCAGGACGAACGCUGGCGGCGUGCUUAACACAUGCAAGUCGAACGAGACGAUUGAAAGCUUGCUUUUGAAAGUCGAGUGGCAAACGGGUGAGUAACGCGUAGACAACCUGCCGUAAAGAUGGGGACAACAGUCCGAAAGGACUGCUAAUACCGAAUGUUGUGGAACUUCCGCAUGGGGGCUCCACUAAAGAUGGCCUCUACUUGUAAGCUAUCGCUUUACGAUGGGUCUGCGUCUGAUUAGCUAGUUGGUGGGGUAACGGCUUACCAAGGCGACGAUCAGUAGCCGGUCUGAGAGGAUGAACGGCCACAUUGGAACUGAGACACGGUCCAGACUCCUACGGGAGGCAGCAGUGGGGAAUCUCCCGCAAUGGGCGCAAGCCUGACGGAGCAACGCCGCGUGAGUGAAGAAGGGUUUCGACUCGUAAAGCUCUGUUGUCGGGGACGAAUGUGGAGAUGGUGAAUAACCAUUUUUCAAUGACGGUACCUGACGAGGAAGCCACGGCUAACUACGUGCCAGCAGCCGCGGUAAUACGUAGGUGGCGAGCGUUGUCCGGAAUUAU
Molecule: ribosomal RNA, 576 nt
Filed under: uncultured bacterium
Lineage: Bacteria
Description: bacterial SSU rRNA
Rfam family: Bacterial small subunit ribosomal RNA
Source: RNAcentral